GCUCUGGUGGUCUAGUGGUAUGAUUCUAACUCCUGAGCACGUUUGCGAGAGGUCCCGCGUUCAAUCCGCGGCUAGAGCC
Molecule: non-coding RNA, 79 nt
Organism: Pyricularia oryzae 70-15
Lineage: Eukaryota; Fungi; Ascomycota; Sordariomycetes; Magnaporthales; Pyriculariaceae
Source: the annotation of a RefSeq genome assembly